AUUGAACGCUGGCGGCAUGCCUUACACAUGCAAGUCGAACGGUAACAGGUUAAGCUGACGAGUGGCGAACGGGUGAGUAAUGUAUCGGAACGUGCCCAGUCGUGGGGGAUAACUGCUCGAAAGAGCAGCUAAUACCGCAUACGACCUGAGGGUGAAAGCGGGGGAUCGCAAGACCUGGCGCGAUUGGAGCGGCCGAUAUCAGAUUAGGUAGUUGGUGAGGUAAAGGCUCACCAAGCCGACGAUCUGUAGCUGGUCUGAGAGGACGACCAGCCACACUGGGACUGAGACACGGCCCAGACUCCUACGGGAGGCAGCAGUGGGGAAUUUUGGACAAUGGGCGCAAGCCUGAUCCAGCCAUGCCGCGUGCGGGAAGAAGGCCUUCGGGUUGUAAACCGCUUUUGUCAGGGAAGAAAAGGUUCUGGCUAAUACCUGGGACUCAUGACGGUACCUGAAGAAUAAGCACCGGCUAACUACGUG
Molecule: ribosomal RNA, 477 nt
Filed under: uncultured bacterium
Lineage: Bacteria
Description: partial 16S ribosomal RNA
Rfam family: Bacterial small subunit ribosomal RNA
Source: RNAcentral